This 58-nucleotide transfer RNA is filed under the name Falcidens halanychi. RNAcentral describes it as "tRNA-Ser". Lineage: Eukaryota; Metazoa; Mollusca; Caudofoveata; Chaetodermatida; Chaetodermatidae. The record is from RNAcentral.
GAGGAAAUAAAAUUAAAGCUGCUAACUUUAAUUCGAGUAUUAACUUAUUCUUUCCUCU